GUUUUAGGCUAUGUUCACACUUGGCGUCUUUUUUUGACGAGAAAAAGUUGACUAGGGAGCUUUUGUAGUGAAAAAAAAAAAAUCUGCUUUUUGGAACCGAAAC
Etheostoma spectabile (orangethroat darter) is the source of this 103-nucleotide long non-coding RNA. RefSeq lists it as uncharacterized. NCBI's taxonomy places the organism in Eukaryota, Metazoa, Chordata, Actinopteri, Perciformes, Percidae. The transcript is spliced from 4 exons. The record is from RefSeq and is a predicted model, not a curated record.